AAAUAGUUCCUGUAACAAAACAAUUCGCCAGAGAACUACUAGCAACAGCUUAAAACUCAAAGGACUUGGCGGUGCUUUAUAUCCCUCUAGAGGAGCCUGUUCUAUAAUCGAUAAACCCCGAUAAACCUCACCAUCCCUUGCUAAUACAGUCUAUAUACCGCCAUCUUCAGCAAAC
RNAcentral lists this ribosomal RNA (175 nucleotides) under Vulpes vulpes (red fox). Its description in RNAcentral is "partial small subunit ribosomal RNA". Lineage: Eukaryota; Metazoa; Chordata; Mammalia; Carnivora; Canidae. The record is from RNAcentral.